CCCUUAGAUGUUCUGGGCUGCACGCGCGCUACACUGACGUACGCAACGAGUGUCCUUUACCGAGAGGUAUGGGUAAUCAUUUGAGUGUACGUCGUGAUGGGGAUAGAAUAUUGUAAUUAUUACUCUUCAACGAGGAAUUCCUAGUAAGCGCAAGUCAGCAGCUUGCGCUGAUUACGUCCCUGCCCUUUGUACACACCGCCCGUCGCUCCUACCGAUGGGUGAUCUGGUGAAUGAUUCGGACUCGGUUGCCUCUAGCCACUAGUGGCGCUCGAGAAAGUUUUGUGAACCUUAUCACUUGGAGGAAGGAGAAGUCGUAACA
RNAcentral lists this ribosomal RNA (319 nucleotides) under uncultured eukaryote. RNAcentral describes it as "partial 18S ribosomal RNA". It matches the Rfam family "Eukaryotic small subunit ribosomal RNA", at positions 1470 to 1796 of the family's 1831-position model. The record is from RNAcentral.